Molecule: ribosomal RNA, 468 nt
Filed under: uncultured bacterium
Lineage: Bacteria
Description: bacterial SSU rRNA
Rfam family: Bacterial small subunit ribosomal RNA
Source: RNAcentral
GACGAACGCUGGCGGCGCGCCUAACACAUGCAAGUCGAACGGAGCUUAGAGAGCUUGCUUUUUAAGCUUAGUGGCGAACGGGUGAGUAACGCGUGAGUAACCUGCCCUAGAGUGGGGGACAACAGUUGGAAACGACUGCUAAUACCGCAUAAGCCCACGGUACCGCAUGGUACUGAGGGAAAAGGAUUUAUUCGCUUUAGGAUGGGCUCGCGUCCAAUUAGCUAGUUGGUGAGGUAACGGCCCACCAAGGCGACGAUUGGUAGCCGGACUGAGAGGUUGAACGGCCACAUUGGGACUGAGACACGGCCCAGACUCCUACGGGAGGCAGCAGUGGGGGAUAUUGCACAAUGGGGGAAACCCUGAUGCAGCGACGCCGCGUGGAGGAAGAAGGCUUUCGGGUUGUAAACUUCUUUUAAGAGGGAAGAGCAGAAGACGGUACCUCUAGAAUAAGCCACGGCUAACUACGUG